AUUGAACGCUGGCGGAAUGCUUUACACAUGCAAGUCGAACGGUAGAGGGGGCAACCCCUCGAGAGUGGCGAACGGGUGAGUAAUAUAUCGGAACGUGCCCAGUCGUGGGGGAUAACGUAGCGAAAGUUACGCUAAUACCGCAUACGAUCUAAGGAUGAAAGCGGGGGAUCGCAAGACCUCGCGCGAUUGGAGCGGCCGAUAUCAGAUUAGGUAGUUGGUGGGGUAAAGGCUCACCAAGCCAACGAUCUGUAGCUGGUCUGAGAGGACGACCAGCCAACCUGGAACGGGGACGCGGUCCAGACUCCUACGGGAGGCAGCAGUGGGGAAUUUUGGAAAAUGGACGCAAGUCUGAUCCAGCCAUUCCGCGUGCAGGAUGAAGGCCCUCGGGUUGUAAACUGCUUUUGUACGGAACGAAAAGGUCUCUCUUAAUACGGGGGGCUCAUGACGGUACUGUAAGAAUAAGCAUCGGCUAACUACGUGCCAGCAGCCGCCGUAA
RNAcentral lists this ribosomal RNA (496 nucleotides) under uncultured bacterium. Its description in RNAcentral is "partial 16S ribosomal RNA". It matches the Rfam family "Bacterial small subunit ribosomal RNA", at positions 30 to 523 of the family's 1533-position model. The record is from RNAcentral.